RNAcentral lists this ribosomal RNA (637 nucleotides) under Paraburkholderia nodosa. RNAcentral describes it as "bacterial SSU rRNA". It matches the Rfam family "Bacterial small subunit ribosomal RNA", at positions 417 to 1045 of the family's 1533-position model. The record is from RNAcentral. Lineage: Bacteria; Pseudomonadati; Pseudomonadota; Betaproteobacteria; Burkholderiales; Burkholderiaceae.
UUCGGGUUGUAAAGCACUUUUGUCCGGAAAGAAAUCCUGGUGGCUAAUAUCCGCCGGGGAUGACGGUACCGGAAGAAUAAGCACCGGCUAACUACGUGCCAGCAGCCGCGGUAAUACGUAGGGUGCGAGCGUUAAUCGGAAUUACUGGGCGUAAAGCGUGCGCAGGCGGUUUUGUAAGACCGAUGUGAAAUCCCCGGGCUUAACCUGGGAACUGCAUUGGUGACUGCAAGGCUUGAGUAUGGCAGAGGGGGGUAGAAUUCCACGUGUAGCAGUGAAAUGCGUAGAGAUGUGGAGGAAUACCGAUGGCGAAGGCAGCCCCCUGGGUCAAUACUGACGCUCAUGCACGAAAGCGUGGGGAGCAAACAGGAUUAGAUACCCUGGUAGUCCACGCCCUAAACGAUGUCAACUGGUUGUCGGGUCUUCAUUGACUUGGUAACGUAGCUAACGCGUGAAGUUGACCGCCUGGGGAGUACGGUCGCAAGAUUAAAACUCAAAGGAAUUGACGGGGACCCGCACAAGCGGUGGAUGAUGUGGAUUAAUUCGAUGCAACGCGAAAAACCUUACCUACCCUUGACAUGUACGGAACCCUGCUGAGAGGUGGGGGUGCCCGAAAGGGAGCCGUAACACAGGUGCUGCA